CCCUUAGAUGUUCUGGGCCGCACGCGCGCUACACUGAUGCAUUCAACGAGUUUCUUCCUGGUCCGAGAGGAAUGGGUAACCUUUUGAAAGUGCAUCGUGAUAGGGAUAGACUAUUGCAAUUAUUGGUCUUCAACGAGGAAUUCCUAGUAGACGUAGUUCAUCAGACUGCAUCGAUUACGUCCCUGCCCUUUGUACACACCGCCCGUCGCUCCUCCCGAUUGAAUGCUCAGGUGAGCCAUUCGGACUUUCAUCAUGCUGGUUUCCAGUUUUGAUGAAGGAAAGUCUUGCGAACCUUAUCAUUUAGAGGAAGGAGAAGUCGUAACA
Molecule: ribosomal RNA, 324 nt
Filed under: uncultured eukaryote
Lineage: Eukaryota
Description: partial 18S ribosomal RNA
Rfam family: Eukaryotic small subunit ribosomal RNA
Source: RNAcentral